UACGACGGGGGCUAGCGUUGUUCGGAAUUACUGGGCGUAAAGCGCACGUAGGCGGAUCAGUCAGUUAGAGGUGAAAGCCCAGGGCUCAACCCUGGAACUGCCUUUAAUACUGCUGGUCUGGAGUCCGAGAGAGGUGAGUGGAAUUCCGAGUGUAGAGGUGAAAUUCGUAGAUAUUCGGAGGAACACCAGUGGCGAAGGCGGCUCACUGACUCGGUACUGACGCUGAGGUGCGAAAGCGUGGGGAGCAAACAGG
Molecule: ribosomal RNA, 253 nt
Filed under: uncultured bacterium
Lineage: Bacteria
Description: partial 16S ribosomal RNA
Rfam family: Bacterial small subunit ribosomal RNA
Source: RNAcentral